Molecule: ribosomal RNA, 253 nt
Filed under: uncultured bacterium
Lineage: Bacteria
Description: partial 16S ribosomal RNA
Rfam family: Bacterial small subunit ribosomal RNA
Source: RNAcentral
UACGUAGGGUGCGAGCGUUAUUCGGAAUUACUGGGCGUAAAGCGUGCGCAGGCGGUUUUGUAAGUCAGGUGUGAAAUCCCCGGGCUUAACCUGGGAACUGCGUUUGAAACUACAAGGCUAGAGUGUGGCAGAGGGGGGUGGAAUUCCACGUGUAGCAGUGAAAUGCGUAGAGAUGUGGAGGAACACCGAUGGCGAAGGCAGCCCCCUGGGUUAACACUGACGCUCAGGCACGAAAGCGUGGGGAGCAAACAGG